RNAcentral lists this ribosomal RNA (312 nucleotides) under Triticum aestivum (bread wheat). Its description in RNAcentral is "partial small subunit ribosomal RNA". The record is from RNAcentral. Lineage: Eukaryota; Viridiplantae; Streptophyta; Magnoliopsida; Poales; Poaceae.
AUGAAGAUGGUGAUCCCCACUAUCUCAGGCGCUGCUACUUCUGAUACUUCGGCCAAGGCUGAAGAUCAUGAGAUGGAAGACGCUGCCACUUCUAAACCUGCUCCAUCUAACGUUGUUAUUGACCUUCCUGACGACGACGAUGAGGAACCACUGAGGCAGAGGAGGAACAGGAAAACGUCUGCUGGCAAGGUGACUCAAGACGUGCCAGCACCCGAGACACUGGUCGCGGAGGGAGAGAACAUCACUCGGCCUACCGUAUCUUUUGCGGUGCCGUUGACGAGUGCUCGCCCCUCGUCGUCGAGUGCUGCAUAG